UACGGAGGGUGCAAGCGUUAAUCGGAAUUACUGGGCGUAAAGCGCACGCAGGCGGUUGGAUAAGUUAGAUGUGAAAGCCCCGGGCUCAACCUGGGAAUUGCAUUUAAAAGUGUGCAGCUAGAGUCUUGUAGAGGGGUGUAGAAUUCCAGGUGUAGCGGUGAAAUGCGUAGAGAUCUGGAGGAAUACCGGUGGCGAAGGCGGCCCCCUGGACAAAGACUGACGCUCAGGUGCGAAAGCGUGGGGAGCAAACAGG
RNAcentral lists this ribosomal RNA (253 nucleotides) under uncultured bacterium. RNAcentral's name for it is "partial 16S ribosomal RNA". It matches the Rfam family "Bacterial small subunit ribosomal RNA", at positions 524 to 776 of the family's 1533-position model. The record is from RNAcentral.